CAAAACUUUCAACAACGGAUCUCUUGGUUCUGGCAUCGAUGAAGAACGCAGCGAAAUGCGAUAAGUAAUGUGAAUUGCAGAAUUCAGUGAAUCAUCGAAUCUUUGAACGCACAUUGCGCCCGCCAGCACUCUGGCGGGCAUGCCUGUCCGAGCGUCAU
This 158-nucleotide ribosomal RNA is filed under the name Hirsutella minnesotensis. RNAcentral's name for it is "5.8S ribosomal RNA". It matches the Rfam family "5.8S ribosomal RNA". From Rfam's summary of the family: 5.8S ribosomal RNA (5.8S rRNA) is a component of the large subunit of the eukaryotic ribosome. The record is from RNAcentral. Lineage: Eukaryota; Fungi; Ascomycota; Sordariomycetes; Hypocreales; Ophiocordycipitaceae.